This 367-nucleotide long non-coding RNA is filed under the name Struthio camelus australis. RNAcentral's name for it is "lncRNA (ENSSCUG00000004327.1)". The record is from RNAcentral. Lineage: Eukaryota; Metazoa; Chordata; Aves; Struthioniformes; Struthionidae.
UCUACACCAACCCUAAAGAAGUUACUAUGCAUCAGCUGUAAUAAGUUUUCAUGUGUCAGCUGAUCUGCAAAUCCAUGACAAAGACGAGUUCUAGUCUUCCGAUUCCUGCAGCUGAAUCCUGCCUUAGGGACGGGGAUGAGAUGAUAACGUGGUCCAGACUUUCAGCGUGAUGCUGGACAACUCCGUGAAGCUGAACUUUUCCUAGCACCAGAAAAUACUAUAUCACUUUGUAAUUUCAAGUAAAUGAAAAACAUACAUUGACAAGCCCUAAACUACUUCACAAUGGAACCACAGGAAAAGGAGAAUAUUAUUGCAUUAAAAGAAUACCUUCCUUGCAAAUAAAAGGUCAGUACACCUGAAAUAAACA